Molecule: ribosomal RNA, 403 nt
Filed under: uncultured bacterium
Lineage: Bacteria
Description: partial 16S ribosomal RNA
Rfam family: Bacterial small subunit ribosomal RNA
Source: RNAcentral
GACGAACGCUGGCGGCGUGCCUAAUACAUGCAAGUCGAACGCAGUGGGGACGGGUGAGUAACACGUGGGUAACCUCCCAUCAGAGGGGAUAACACUUGGAAACAGGUGCUAAACCGAUAAGGAUGGAAGGACCCGGUGUGCAUUAGCUAGUUGGUGAUGUAACGGCUCACCAAGGCCACGAUGCAUAGCCGCCCUGAGAGGUGGAUGGGCCACCCUGUGACUCAGACACGGCCCAGACUCCUACGGUAGGCAGCAGUAGGGAAUCUUCGGCAAUGGACGAAAGUCUGACCGAGCAACGCCGCGUGAGUGAAGAAGGUUUUCGGAUCGUAAAACUCUGUUGUUAGAGAAGCGGUAUCUAACCAGAAAGCCACGGCUAACUACGUGCCAGCAGCCGCGGUAAUUG